Molecule: transfer RNA, 72 nt
Filed under: Plectosphaerella cucumerina
Lineage: Eukaryota; Fungi; Ascomycota; Sordariomycetes; Glomerellales; Plectosphaerellaceae
Also listed under: 6 other names
Rfam family: tRNA
About the family: Transfer RNA (tRNA) molecules are approximately 80 nucleotides in length. Their secondary structure includes four short double-helical elements and three loops (D, anti-codon, and T loops). Further hydrogen bonds mediate the characteristic L-shaped molecular structure. tRNAs have two regions of fundamental functional importance: the anti-codon, which is responsible for specific mRNA codon recognition, and the 3' end, to which the tRNAs corresponding amino acid is attached (by aminoacyl-tRNA synthetases). tRNAs cope with the degeneracy of the genetic code in two manners: having more than one tRNA (with a specific anti-codon) for a particular amino acid; and 'wobble' base-pairing, i.e. permitting non-standard base-pairing at the 3rd anti-codon position.
Source: Rfam by way of RNAcentral
GGGCGAUUGGUUUAGUGGUAUAACGUCUGCUUAGCAUGCUGAAGGUCCCGCGUUCGAUUCGCGGAUUGUCCA